Molecule: ribosomal RNA, 505 nt
Filed under: uncultured bacterium
Lineage: Bacteria
Description: partial 16S ribosomal RNA
Rfam family: Bacterial small subunit ribosomal RNA
Source: RNAcentral
GACGAACGCUGGCGGCGUGCCUAAUACAUGCAAGUAGAACGCACAGUUUAUACCGUAGCUUGCUACACCAUAGACUGUGAGUUGCGAACGGGUGAGUAACGCGUAGGUAACCUGCCUGGUAGCGGGGGAUAAUUAUUGAAAAGGUUAGCUAUUACCGCUUAUUUUUAAUUUUUCAUGGUAAUUUGUUUAAAAGUUCCAAUUGAUUAACAACAAAAGGACCUUGCGUUGUAUUAGCUAGUAGGUGAGGUAACGGCUCACCUAGGCGACGAUACAUAGCCGACCUGAGAGGGUGAUCGGCCACACUGGGACUGAGACACGGCCCAGACUCCUACGGGAGGCAGCAGUAGGGAAUCUUCGGCAAUGGACGAAAGUCUGACCGAGCAACGCCGCGUGAGUGAAGAAGGUUUUCGGAUCGUAAAGCUCUGUUGUAAGAGAAGAACGGGUGUGAGAGUGGAAAGUUCACACUGUGACGGUAUCUUACCAGAAAGGGACGGCUAACUACGUG